CCUACGGGUGGCUGCAGUGAGGAAUAUUGGUCAAUGGACGCAAGUCUGAACCAGCCAUGCCGCGUGCAGGAAGACGGCUCUAUGAGUUGUAAACUGCUUUUGUACGGGAGUAAACGCAAAUAUGCGUCUUUGUUUGAAAGUAUCAUACGAAUAAGGAUCGGCUAACUCCGUGCCAGCAGCCGCGGGAAUACGGAGGAUUCAAGCGUUAUCCGGAUUUAUUGGGUUUAAAGGGGGCGUAGGCGGUCGUAUAAGUUAGAGGUGAAAUCUCGGGGCUCAACCUCGGAAUUGCCUGUGAUACUGUUCGGCUAGAGAGUAGGAGAGGUAGGCGGAAUUGAUGGUGUAGCGGUGAAAUGCUUAGAGAUCAUGAAGAACACCGGUUGCGAAGGCAGAUUACUGAGCUGCAACUGACGGUGAGGCACGAAAGCGUGGGGAGCAAACAGGAUUAGAUACCCUAGUAGUC
This 460-nucleotide ribosomal RNA is filed under the name uncultured bacterium. RNAcentral describes it as "partial 16S ribosomal RNA". It matches the Rfam family "Bacterial small subunit ribosomal RNA", at positions 338 to 795 of the family's 1533-position model. The record is from RNAcentral.